UACGUAGGGGGCCAGCGUUGCUCGGAAUUACUGGGCGUAAAGGGUUCGUAGGUGGUGCGGUAAGUUGGGAGUGAAAUCUCUGGGCUUAACUCAGGGGCUGCUUUCAAAACUGCCGUGCUCGAGUGCGAGAGAGGCCAGUGGAAUUGCAGGUGUAGCGGUGAAAUGCGUAGAUAUCUGCAGGAACACCCGUGGCGAAGGCGGCUGGCUGGAUCGCAACUGACACUGAGGAACGAAAGCGAGGGGAGCAAACAGG
This 253-nucleotide ribosomal RNA is filed under the name uncultured bacterium. RNAcentral's name for it is "partial 16S ribosomal RNA". It matches the Rfam family "Bacterial small subunit ribosomal RNA", at positions 524 to 776 of the family's 1533-position model. The record is from RNAcentral.